Molecule: ribosomal RNA, 785 nt
Filed under: Escherichia coli
Lineage: Bacteria; Pseudomonadati; Pseudomonadota; Gammaproteobacteria; Enterobacterales; Enterobacteriaceae
Also listed under: 1 other name
Description: partial 23S ribosomal RNA
Rfam family: Bacterial large subunit ribosomal RNA
Source: RNAcentral
CUAAAUACUCCUGACUGACCGAUAGUGAACCAGUACCGUGAGGGAAAGGCGAAAAGAACCCCGGCGAGGGGAGUGAAAAAGAACCUGAAACCGUGUACGUACAAGCAGUGGGAGCACGCUUAGGCGUGUGACUGCGUACCUUUUGUAUAAUGGGUCAGCGACUUAUAUUCUGUAGCAAGGUUAACCGAAUAGGGGAGCCGAAGGGAAACCGAGUCUUAACUGGGCGUUAAGUUGCAGGGUAUAGACCCGAAACCCGGUGAUCUAGCCAUGGGCAGGUUGAAGGUUGGGUAACACUAACUGGAGGACCGAACCGACUAAUGUUGAAAAAUUAGCGGAUGACUUGUGGCUGGGGGUGAAAGGCCAAUCAAACCGGGAGAUAGCUGGUUCUCCCCGAAAGCUAUUUAGGUAGCGCCUCGUGAAUUCAUCUCCGGGGGUAGAGCACUGUUUCGGCAAGGGGGUCAUCCCGACUUACCAACCCGAUGCAAACUGCGAAUACCGGAGAAUGUUAUCACGGGAGACACACGGCGGGUGCUAACGUCCGUCGUGAAGAGGGAAACAACCCAGACCGCCAGCUAAGGUCCCAAAGUCAUGGUUAAGUGGGAAACGAUGUGGGAAGGCCCAGACAGCCAGGAUGUUGGCUUAGAAGCAGCCAUCAUUUAAAGAAAGCGUAAUAGCUCACUGGUCGAGUCGGCCUGCGCGGAAGAUGUAACGGGGCUAAACCAUGCACCGAAGCUGCGGCAGCGACGCUGAUGCGUUGUUGGGUAGGGGAGCGUUCUGUAAGCCUG